ACCUCCGUGUGGGGAUACCCGCCGAAAGGCGGGCUAAUACCGCGUGCGGUCCCCAGACGACAUCGGCUGGGGAAGAAAGCCGGCCUCUGCUUGCACGCCGGCGCCGGAGGAUGGGCCCGCGGGCUAUUAGCUUGUUGGUGGGGUAACGGCCUACCAAGGCGAUGAUGGCUAGCCGGCCUGAGAGGGCAUUCGGCCACACAGGGACUGAGACAAGGCCCUGUCCCCUACGGGAGGCGCAGGCGGGAAUUGUUCACAAUGGGCGCAAGCCUGAUGACGCGACGCCGCGUGAGGGAUGAAGGCCUUCGGGUUGUAAACCUCUGCCGGGAGAGAAGAAAGACGGGCGGUUAAUACCCGCCCGGGCUGACGUUAUCUCCCAAGGAAGCCUCGGCUAACUACGUGCCAGCAGCCGCGGUAACACGUAGGAGGCAAGCGUUGUCCGGAAUUACUGGGCGUAAAGGGUGUGUAGGCGGGACGGUAAGUCGGGCGUGAAAUCCCACGGCUCAACCGUGGAACUGCGCUCGAUACUGCCAUCCUCGAGUACGGGAUAGGAGAGCGGAACUCACGGUGUAGCGGUAAAAUGCGUAGAUAUCGUGAGGAACACCGGUGGCGUAGGCGGCUCUCUAGCCCGAUACUGACGCUGAGACACGAAAGCCAGGGUAGCGAACGGGAUUAGAUACCCCGGUAGUCCUGGCCGUAAACGAUGGGCACUAGGUGUGGGAAGCAUCGACCCUUUCCGUGCCGAAGCCAACGCAUUAAGU
This 758-nucleotide ribosomal RNA is filed under the name uncultured bacterium. Its description in RNAcentral is "bacterial SSU rRNA". It matches the Rfam family "Bacterial small subunit ribosomal RNA", at positions 129 to 865 of the family's 1533-position model. The record is from RNAcentral.